UUUCCGUAGGUGAACCUGCGGAAGGAUCAUUAAUGAGUUGUCAUGGGGUUCGCUCCUGGCAGCCAAUUUUUGGAUGCAUGUGCUUGCCCUAACAAUCAUCUUCCAAACACCUGUGCACAUUUUUGAGGGAGUCUUGAGUUGGUUGCCGCUCUUGGGUGAUUUUCUCACAUUCCCUUAAAUCAUUAUACGCUAUUAACAAUGUUGAACGUGCUCUGUGCCGCAAGGCUAUUAAUAUAAUACAACUUUUAACAACGGAUCUCUUGGCUCUC
Molecule: unclassified non-coding RNA, 269 nt
Filed under: plant metagenome
Description: partial contains small subunit ribosomal RNA, internal transcribed spacer 1, and 5.8S ribosomal RNA
Source: RNAcentral